This 18-nucleotide transfer RNA is filed under the name Chlorophytum glaucoides. RNAcentral's name for it is "partial tRNA-Phe". The record is from RNAcentral. Lineage: Eukaryota; Viridiplantae; Streptophyta; Magnoliopsida; Asparagales; Asparagaceae.
GUCGGGAUAGCUCUAAUU